GAUGAAGAACGCAGCGAAAUGCGAUACGUAAUGUGAAUUGCAGAAUUCAGUGAAUCAUCGAGUCUUUGAACGCACAUUGCGCCCCCUGGUAUUCCGGGGGGCAUGCCUGUCCGAGCGUCAUUGCUGCCCUCAAGCACGGCUUGUGUGUUGGGCCUCCGUCCUCCUCCCGGGGGACGGGCCCGAAAGGCAGCGGCGGCACCGCGUCCGGUCCUCAAGCGUAUGGGGCUUCGUCACCCGCUCUUGUAGGCCCGGCCGGCGCUUGCCGACACAUCAAUCUUUUUUCCAGGUUGACCUCGGAUCAGGUAGGGAUACCCGCUGAACUUAAGCAUAUCAAUAAGCGGAGGA
Molecule: unclassified non-coding RNA, 345 nt
Filed under: soil metagenome
Description: partial contains 5.8S ribosomal RNA, internal transcribed spacer 2, and large subunit ribosomal RNA
Rfam family: 5.8S ribosomal RNA (bases 1-120)
Source: RNAcentral